Molecule: long non-coding RNA, 623 nt
Filed under: Panax ginseng (ginseng)
Lineage: Eukaryota; Viridiplantae; Streptophyta; Magnoliopsida; Apiales; Araliaceae
Description: long non-coding RNA (PGIN_LNC005999)
Source: RNAcentral
GGAAUGUGCCUUCGACAUAAGUCUUAAAUUUUGUAGUCUUCCUAUAUAUUAGAACUGAAGAUAUGGUGCAAAACAAAAACCUAAUAAGCAGAAAAUGGCAACUAGAACUGCUUAUUCUCUUAUUAUGCAAUUUGUCUUGUGUUUGAUUUUGAUUCUCUUAGUCCUUCCACGAACAUCUGCAGGUAGAUUUGAGUAAUAUUUAAAUCACUUCAGAUUUUUCAUUGGAUCAUCUUUCAUUAAUUAUGUCCCAAUAACUCUUUGCAGUUCUUUUGAAUCUGCCUUUUCAUCUUUUAGCAACUCUUUCCAAUUUUUUUGGUGCAGGAAAUCAGUCAUUUGUAGAGGGACAUCCUUCAUGGCGUGGCCCUGGCCCUUGAGUCCUCAUAAUUCUCUUUAGAUUAGUCUCCAAUAAUUGAAAGGUUACAUAACUAUUGUUUCGAUCAUCAUCGUCUCUUCUAUCUAUGUUUAAGAAGCUAUAUAUUAUGUGAUGAUUGUGUACUAGCUACCAGACGUUUGGAGUUUCCAAGUGAUAUGUGUUCUAGUGUAAGAACAAGUCAAGUUAUUCUGUUGUAUUUGCAAUUUUCAGUUAUUAAUUGAUAAAUUUUAACUCUAUGUAAUUAAUUUCA